RNAcentral lists this ribosomal RNA (460 nucleotides) under uncultured bacterium. RNAcentral's name for it is "partial 16S ribosomal RNA". It matches the Rfam family "Bacterial small subunit ribosomal RNA", at positions 338 to 795 of the family's 1533-position model. The record is from RNAcentral.
CCUACGGGAGACUGCAGUGAGGAAUAUUGGUCAAUGGCCGGAAGGCUGAACCAGCCAUGCCGCGUGAAGGUCAGUGCCCUAUGGGCGUUAAACUUCUUUUGUGCUGGAGCAAUAAUGGUCACGUGUGGCCAGACGAGAGUACCGUACGAAUAAGCAUCGGCUAACUCCGUGCCAGAAGCCGCGGUAAUACGGGGGAUGCAAGCGUUAUCCGGAUUUAUUGGGUUUAAAGGGUGCGUAGGCUGUGAGGUAAGUCAGCGGUGAAAUGCCCCCGCUCAACGGGGUGAAGUGCCAUUGAUACUGCCUUGCGGGAAUGCUGAUGACGUGGGAGGAAUGUGUGGUGUAGCGGUGAAAUGCAUAGAGAUCACACAGAACACCGAUUGCGAAGGCAUCUCACGAAUCCGCGAUUGACGCUGAUGCACGAAAGCGUGGGUAUCAAACAGGAUUAGAUACCCGGGUAGUC